AUUUAUAUAGUUUAAAAAUAAAACAAUACAUUUUCAUGGUAUAAAUAAUAAUUAAUUAUUUAUAAAUA
Molecule: transfer RNA, 68 nt
Filed under: Decma fissa
Lineage: Eukaryota; Metazoa; Arthropoda; Insecta; Orthoptera; Tettigoniidae
Description: tRNA-Glu
Source: RNAcentral